UGGAGAGUUGUCCGAGAGGCCGAAGGAGCACGAUUGGAAAUCGUGUAAACAGGAAACUGUUUCGAGGGUUCGAAUCCCUUACUCUCCGU
This 89-nucleotide transfer RNA is filed under the name Aerococcus viridans. RNAcentral's name for it is "tRNA-Ser(gga)". It matches the Rfam family "tRNA". Rfam says of the family: Transfer RNA (tRNA) molecules are approximately 80 nucleotides in length. Lineage: Bacteria; Bacillati; Bacillota; Bacilli; Lactobacillales; Aerococcaceae. The record is from RNAcentral.